UAGGGAAUCUUCCGCAAUGGGCGAAAGCCUGACGGAGCAACGCCGCGUGAGUGAUGAAGGUCUUCGGAUCGUAAAACUCUGUUAUUAGGGAAGAACAAAUGUGUAAGUAACUAUGCACGUCUUGACGGUACCUAAUCAGAAAGCCACGGCUAACUACGUGCCAGCAGCCGCGGUAAUACGUAGGUGGCAAGCGUUAUCCGGAAUUAUUGGGCGUAAAGCGCGCGUAGGCGGUUUUUUAAGUCUGAUGUGAAAGCCCACGGCUCAACCGUGGAGGGUCAUUGGAAACUGGAAAACUUGAGUGCAGAAGGGGAAAGUGGAAUUCCAUGUGUAGCGGUGAAAUGCGCAGAGAUAUGGAGGAACACCAGUGGCGAAGGCGACUUUCUGGUCUGUAACUGACGCUGAUGUGCGAAAGCGUGGGGAUCAAACGGG
Molecule: ribosomal RNA, 429 nt
Filed under: Actinomycetes bacterium
Lineage: Bacteria; Bacillati; Actinomycetota; Actinomycetes
Description: Actinobacteria bacterium partial 16S ribosomal RNA
Rfam family: Bacterial small subunit ribosomal RNA
Source: RNAcentral